Molecule: ribosomal RNA, 752 nt
Filed under: uncultured bacterium
Lineage: Bacteria
Description: bacterial SSU rRNA
Rfam family: Bacterial small subunit ribosomal RNA
Source: RNAcentral
AGAGUUUGAUCAUGGCUCAGAAUCAACGCUGGCGGCGCGCUUAACACAUGCAAGUCGCACGAGAAAGGGAGCAAUCCUAAGUAAAGUGGCGCACGGGUGAGUAACACGUGGAUCAUCUACCUUUUAGUGGGGAAUACCUCUGGGAAACCGGAGACAAUACCGCAUAAGCCUGUAAAGGGAAAGCAGCAAUGCGCUGAAAGAGGAGUCCGCGGCCGAUUAGCUAGUUGGCGGGGUAAUGGCCCACCAAGGCGAAGAUCGGUAGCCGGCCUGAGAGGGCACACGGCCACACUGGCACUGAAACACGGGCCAGACUCCUACGGGAGGCAGCAGUGGGGAAUCUUGCACAAUGGGCGAAAGCCUGAUGCAGCGACGCCGCGUGAGCGAUGAAGCCCUUCGGGGUGUAAAGCUCUUUCGACGGGAACGAUAAUGACGGUACCCGGAGAAGAAGCUGCGGCUAACUACGUGCCAGCAGCCGCGGUAAUACGUAGGCAGCGAGCGUUGUUCGGAAUUACUGGGCGUAAAGAGUGUGUAGGCGGUGUUCCCAGUCUGUUGUGAAAUCUCCCGGCUUAACUGGGAGGGUGCAGCGGAAACUAGAAUGCUAGAGGGUGGGAGAGGUAAGCGGAAUUCCUGGUGUAGCGGUGAAAUGCGUAGAUAUCAGGAGGAACACCUGGUGUAGACAGCUUACUGGACCACUUCUGACGCUGAGACACGAAAGCGUGGGUAGCAAACAGGAUUAGAUACCCUAGUAGUCC